CUCUGGACAACGGAUGCUGCAAAGGAACUGCUGACGAGGGAGAUUAGAAGAAGCUGGACAGCAAAGGGAUUCUUAUCAAAGAAGAAGAGAGGUAGCACAAGGCUCCCGAGGAGGAAAACACAAGGUUAUCUUCUUUGAUCCAGCCAAAGAUAUCCAAGCUGCUGAGGUGACACCUGAUACAUACUAUACUGUUGGAGAAAUUGUUGUGAAGCUUAGCUUGUAUGAGAGUCAUAGUGAAGCUGUGGUGUCCUUUUUAAACUCACAAGGAUAAAAAGGUGUUACUAUGGGGCGGAGGAAAGGAGAGGAAAGAGCAAGGUGCCGUUUGCAAGCGAUGCAAAACUUACAUGUAUGAAUAGUUU
Molecule: long non-coding RNA, 359 nt
Organism: Triticum aestivum (bread wheat)
Lineage: Eukaryota; Viridiplantae; Streptophyta; Magnoliopsida; Poales; Poaceae
Exons: 3
Source: RefSeq, a predicted model, not a curated record